Long non-coding RNA from Suricata suricatta (meerkat), 1489 nucleotides. RefSeq lists it as uncharacterized. The record is from RefSeq and is a predicted model, not a curated record. The transcript is spliced from 5 exons. Lineage: Eukaryota; Metazoa; Chordata; Mammalia; Carnivora; Herpestidae.
AAACUGCUAAGUGCAGUGGAGCCCCCCUACCCAGGCCUUGUCUCCUGUUCCCCACUCCCUACCACACCCCCGGAGCCUGCCUUGAGGGCUUGGAGAAGGAAAGAGGGAGCAGAAGAGAGAGGAAGGAAGGAAGCAGACAGGUCUUUCUGAGUCACCUCUCCUGGCCCAGCUGUGCUCCGGGAAGCUGGGGAGCUCAGUCCUGACCCCCACGCCCACCCUCAAGGCCCCCACCCCCAAGCGGAGGAGAAAGGGCCCGAACCAGCUCUCUAGGCCUGCGUCAGAAUGUUGAUGUGCUUUCUGUCCACCCUGGGGUCUGGCCUCAGUUGUACACACUCAGUGUUUAGAAAUUUUCUGGGUGUGGUUUUCAUCUUCAAGUGAUAGCUGAGGAGCCCUUCCUCUCCUGUCUGGCCUGGCCCUCUGCACCUUGCUGGAGGAAGGGACAGAGCCCAGCAACAGAGCACCCAGCUCAGAGGAGGAGCCUGCCCCUGUGGUGCUGAGGCGGGCCCUGCAGGGGUUACCUCCUGGCCCUUCACGAAACCAGCGUACAGCCUGGCAUCCUGAAGUCAGGGAGCCCACGAGUGCCCCAAACCAUAUCUGGCCAAGGCCUCAGCCAACUCCCAGGCACCGGAGCCCUGCCAGGUCACCCCCCGAGGCUGCCUCUGGACCUCAGCUUCCAAAUCCUCCACCUGAAGGUGAACAGGGCUUCUCUUAGGCUCCUUCUGGAGGCUCUCAGCCCAGAUGGGUGACAAACCCAGAGCCCUUGGGUGACUGAUGAGGCCCCCUCACCGACCUCGGCAGGAGGCUGGGGUGGGAGGGCCUUGCCUGAUGAACUCACCCCCGAGGAAGAGGCUUUCUGUGAAUGUGCUCAGCUCCAAGGCUCUGUAGUUAGGAAGUCACACAGCCAAACUCAAAAUGGGAAGAGAUUUGGUACCUGGCAAGAAGACCAUAUAUUAAGGGGUAAUUUUUCUCCUGUUAUAAAUCCAUUAGGAAAUUAAAAAUCUAGGCUGUGACUUUAAAAUAUGGAAUGGAAUUUUCUUCAGAGCCCGCAGGAGUGGGGGUCUCCAUCCUGGUGAGCUGGAAGGAGCAGAGCAUGGAGGAUCAGUGGAGGGUGGACCCCUCUGACAGGAUGCAGUCACAGCGGCCAUGUGGCCCCACCUUCUUCAAGGUGGCCUGGGGAUUGCAGUCCGCAGGAAGCCGAGGACCCGGGUCCAGCAAUCGGUGGCACUGUCAGCCACGGUGGGUAAAAUUGCCGAGAUUCUUUCUGGCGGCAGAGUUUCUGGAUGGUUGUCCCUUUCGUCCCCACUGUCAUCAGGACAAACCUCUGUAGAGCUCAUUUCAUUCCGCCGCUAGUUUCCUCUGCAUCGGUGUCCCCCCACCUGCCAAUGCCAUGCCCCUUGCAGCAAGUGCCACGCUGCAUUCCUGAUUCUUUCUGUCCCCAAAGCACCCAGCACACUGCUUUGCAAAGAUGAUGCCCUCAAAUGUUCACUGA